This is a long non-coding RNA of Apis florea (little honeybee), 1666 nucleotides long. The record is from RefSeq and is a predicted model, not a curated record. Lineage: Eukaryota; Metazoa; Arthropoda; Insecta; Hymenoptera; Apidae.
AACUGCGAUACUCUAAUGCGAGAAUACACUCGCUCGGUGUAGGAGCGAAAAGUUCACACUAGAAGCGAAGAUCGCGCUAUGUAAAAGGUUACGGAGGCGUGGAUCGCGCGCAACUUGGUUCGUUCCUCCUUCCUUCUCUCGAUCUUCGAGAGUGGAACGAGACGCACGACCUUCUCCAUCGACGACGAUCCGUGCGAAACAUCCUCGAAAGACGAUUGCAUAACUAUGCCCCCCGUGACUGACAACGACGUGCCGUGCAAACAACGACGAUGACGUUAAAGACGAUCGCGUCGCGAAAUCCCGCGAUGGAUUUUUCCGCGGCUGAUGCGAACAGUGGGUGUGACUGCGUCCGAUAUCGCGUUAGAAGCGAGUCACCCCGCGUUAUCACGACCGGAGACCGGAGAGAUCGGGCGAAAAUAUAUCCGAUCGCGGAUGGAACGGUAACGCAUCGUUUCCCACGUGGCACGUAUACUUGCGUGUGGGCGCGCGCGUGUCAGUGUUGUACGCGUGUCGAUUCGAUUCAAUUUCGUUCGCGAUUUUCCUCGUCUUCGAUCGUCGUUUCAAUAAAUUUACGCUCGUUCGCUACUUCGUGGAACGAACGACUUGGUACGUACGAGGAACGACUCGAUGGCAUUGGCAGCCCCAAAUAGAGAGUAGCUCGAUAAUUACGACGUAUCGUAAUUGUUUCACACCAGACGCGUCGAGCGGCGCGCAGCUGUCGAUUCAUGGAGAUAUUCUUUUUUCUCCUCGCAGCUGCAGCUGUACACAUACGCGCGCAAUACACGUUUCGCGUUAUCGAAACGAUGACUUUACACACGCGUAAUGUCGUCGAUUCUCGACGAGAUAUUUGCCGAAAAAGAAAAUUUCUCUCUCUCUCUCUCUCUUCGCUUUUUCUUUUCCCAUUCUUUUCCCGAAAAAUUGGUGACGCGCUGUCGAAUCUCAUCGAGCGGAGCGUAUUCGCGCGGUAAAUCGGACUUGGCCCGAUGCAACGCGCUUUAUCGCGCGUAACGAUUCGCGUAAGCGCAUAAUUUCUCUUCGAAGGUUCGGUCGCAACGCGUGGAUAAAAAUAACGAUCGUUCCCCAUCCCCCUCUAUCCACUUUUAUUCUUCUUCCUCGUCUUUAUCUCUCUUGGUAAAUUAUAGUUCGUGCCUUUUUUAAACGGGAAAAUCCGCGAGAGACGCGUUCGCGUAUAACAAUCGAAAAUAAAACGAGAUCAAAAGGAGGAGAGUGGACAGUGGUAGGAGAGGAGCGAUAACAAUCGCGCUACUUAUCGAGGGAAUUAAUGUAUCGGAUAUAUAUAUAUAUAUAUAUAUAUAUAGUGGAGCAUCAACGUUUCACGAAUCACGGACGAUAUCAUCUGGCUCGAUGAUAUCGGGAUAACGGGAAUACGAAUCAAUCGGUCGUCGACAAUUUCCUCGUCGGAUAGAAAGGAGGGAGAAGAGGGAAUCGCAACCCCGCGAUAUCAAGCCCGAAUAAGGGUAACGCGAGCAUCCAUCCCCGGCCCGAACGAUUAAUCGAACCUGUUCGAUCGUAUAUCUGGAAGGAAAGGAGAGAAGCUCGGCCGUGAUUGCGGGAUUACCCGUUGUCUCGGUCGGUAACGGGCACUCGCUCGACCUUCGAGAUAUCCGAUCUUAAUCCCUUUAAGGAAGACCUCCAACCCUCCUCC